CCUACGGGGGGCUGCAGUGGGGAAUUUUGCGCAAUGGGCGAAAGCCUGACGCAGCAACGCCGCGUGAGUGAUGAAGGCUUUCGGGUCGUAAAGCUCUGUCAAUGGGAAAGAAGUGUAUUGUAGCUAAUAUCUGCGAUACUUGACGGUACCCAUAAAGGCAGCACCGGCUAACUCCGUGCCAGCAGCCGCGGUCAUACGGGGGGUGCAAGCGUUGUUCGGGAUCAUUGGGCGUAUUUCGUUAGUCGGCGGUGAAAGCCCUGGGCUCAACCCAGGAAGUGCAUUGGAAACUGGCAGACUUGAAUACGGGAGAGGGUAGUGGAAUUCCUGGUGUAGGAGUGAAAUCCGUAGAUAUCAGGAGGAACACCGGUGGCGAAGGCGGCUGCCUGGACCGAUAUUGACGCUGAGACGCGAAAGCGUGGGUAGCAAACAGGAUUAGAUACCCGUGUAGUC
This 450-nucleotide ribosomal RNA is filed under the name uncultured bacterium. Its description in RNAcentral is "partial 16S ribosomal RNA". It matches the Rfam family "Bacterial small subunit ribosomal RNA", at positions 338 to 795 of the family's 1533-position model. The record is from RNAcentral.